Molecule: ribosomal RNA, 400 nt
Filed under: phytoplankton environmental sample
Lineage: Eukaryota
Description: partial small subunit ribosomal RNA
Rfam family: Eukaryotic small subunit ribosomal RNA
Source: RNAcentral
AGCUCCAAUAGCGUAUAUUAAAGUUGUUGCAGUUAAAAAGCUCGUAGUUGGAUUCCUGGUUAAAGCGGCCGGUCUGGUCCGAAUGGAUUAGUACUUCGAGCUGUCUUUGACCUUCCUUUGGGAGAGCUUGUGUUGUCUUUAAUUAGACGGGCAAGGGACCCCAAUCGUUUACUGUGAAAAAAUUAGAGUGUUUAAAGCAGGCAUUUGCUGUGAAUACAUUAGCAUGGAAUAAUAAGAUAGGACUUUGGUGCUAUUUUGUUGGUUUGCACACCAAGGUAAUGAUUAACAGGGACAGUUGGGGGUAUUCGUAUUUAAUUGUCAGAGGUGAAAUUCUUGGAUUUAUGAAAGACGAACUACUGCGAAAGCAUUUACCAAGGAUGUUUUCAUUAAUCAAGAACGA